RNAcentral lists this ribosomal RNA (253 nucleotides) under uncultured bacterium. RNAcentral describes it as "partial 16S ribosomal RNA". It matches the Rfam family "Bacterial small subunit ribosomal RNA", at positions 524 to 776 of the family's 1533-position model. The record is from RNAcentral.
UACAGAGGGGGCAAGCGUUGUUCGGAAUUACUGGGCGUAAAGGGCGCGUAGGCGGCCUGCUAAGUCGGACGUGAAAUCCCUGGGCUCAACCCAGGAACUGCGUCCGAUACUGGUUGGCUUGAAUCCGGGAGAGGGAUGUGGAAUUCCAGGUGUAGCGGUGAAAUGCGUAGAUAUCUGGAGGAACACCGGUGGCGAAGGCGGCAUCCUGGACCGGUAUUGACGCUGAGGCGCGAAAGCCAGGGGAGCAAACGGG